Molecule: ribosomal RNA, 413 nt
Filed under: uncultured Oscillibacter sp.
Lineage: Bacteria; Bacillati; Bacillota; Clostridia; Eubacteriales; Oscillospiraceae
Description: bacterial SSU rRNA
Rfam family: Bacterial small subunit ribosomal RNA
Source: RNAcentral
ACGGAAGGCAGCAGUGGGGAAUAUUGGGCAAUGGGCGCAAGCCUGACCCAGCAAUGCCGCGUGAAGGAAGAAGGCUUUCGGGUUGUAAACUUCUUUUGUCAGGGAAGAGUAGAAGACGGUACCUGACGAAUAAGCCACGGCUAACUACGUGCCAGCAGCCGCGGUAAUACGUAGGUGGCAAGCGUUGUCCGGAUUUACUGGGUGUAAAGGGCGUGUAGCCGGGUCGGUAAGUCAGAUGUGAAAUCCACGGGCUCAACUCGUGAACUGCAUUUGAAUCUGCUGAUCUUGAGUAUCGGAGAGGCAAUCGGAAUUCCUAGUGUAGCGGUGAAAUGCGUAGAUAUUAGGAGAAACACCAGUGGCGAAGGCGGAUUGCUGGACGACAACUGACGGUGAGGCGCGAAAGCGUGGGGAGC